CGGUAAUUCCAGCUCCGAUAGUAUAUAUUAAAGUUGUUGCAGUUAAAAAGCUCGUAGUUGAAACUUGGGUGCGUAGGGGCGGUCUCUUUUAGAGUACUACCCUGAAACAUCUUUCUUUGGUGUAAACUUUCUAUUUAUUUAGGAAGUGUAAGCCAAACAUUUACUUUGAAAAAAUUAGAGUGUUCAAAGCAGGCCUUUGCUCGAAUAUAUUAGCAUGGAAUAAUAGAAUAGGACGUAUGGUUCUAUUUUGUUGGUUUCUAGGACCGUCGUAAUGAUUAAUAGGGACGGUCGGGGGCAUCAGUAUUCAGUUGUCAGAGGUGAAAUUCUUGGAUUUACUGAAGACUAACUACUGCGAAAGCAUUUGCCAAGGACGUUUUCAUUAAUCAAGAACGAAAGUUAGGGGAUCGAAGACGAUCAGAUACCGUCGUAGUCUUAACCGUAAACUAUGCCGACUAGGGAUCGGAGGGCGUUAUAAUAACCUCUCCGGCACCUUACGAGAAAUCAAAGUUUUUGGGUUCUGGGGGGAGUAUGGUUGCAAGGCUGAAACUUAAAGGAAUUGACGGAAGGGCACCACCAGGAGUGGAGCCUGCGGCUUAAUUUGACUCAACACGGGGAAACUCACCAGGUCCAGACACAAUAAGGAUUGACAGAUUGAGAGCUCUUUCAUGAUUUUGUGGGUGGUGGUGCAUGGCCGUUCUUAGUUGGUGGAGUGAUUUGUCUGCUUAAUUGCGAUAACGAACGAGACCUUAACCUGCUAAAUAGCUGUAACAAUAGAUUAUUGUUUUGACAGCUUCUUAGAGGGACUAUCGAUUUUCAAGUCGAUGGAAGUUUGAGGCAAUAACAGGUCUGUGAUGCCCUUAGACGUUCUGGGCCGCACGCGCGCUACACUGACGGAGCCAGCGAGUCUAACCUGUGCCGAGAGGUAUGGGUAAUCUUGUGAAACUCCGUCGUGCUGGGGAUAGAGCAUUGCAAUUAUU
RNAcentral lists this ribosomal RNA (977 nucleotides) under uncultured eukaryote. RNAcentral describes it as "SSU rRNA". It matches the Rfam family "Eukaryotic small subunit ribosomal RNA", at positions 577 to 1594 of the family's 1831-position model. The record is from RNAcentral.